AAGAGUGACAGAUUUCAUGUUGACCACUCACAACCUCCAUUCACACUUCACCAUACCUAGAAUAUCCCACACACAUCUUAAAGUGGCAUGCUAGGGAAUAAACCAAAGUAAGGAUCCAUAUGUAUAAGGUACCAUGGUGAUCUCAGGUCAAAAGAUCACAUACACCACUUCCACUAGAGAACCAUCUAUCGACAUGCUGUAAGG
RNAcentral lists this long non-coding RNA (204 nucleotides) under Elaeis guineensis (African oil palm). RNAcentral describes it as "long non-coding RNA (EGUI_LNC047684)". The record is from RNAcentral. Lineage: Eukaryota; Viridiplantae; Streptophyta; Magnoliopsida; Arecales; Arecaceae.